CUACCUUAUAUCUAUUAUCCCCUCCCCAACACUUUGGUUCCUUCUUUGUUUCUCCACUAAUACAGACUCAUCUGAAGGUUGCAAACCAUCCAAGUGUUCUGAGCCCCGCCAUCCUUUCCUCCUAAAUGUGUGAGAGAAGUGACAAAAGGACUGAUCUGGCUCAACUUCAUCAUCACCUAACUGAGUGACUUGAGGGGCCAGUCACAGCUUCCAAAUGACCUAGAACUGCCUGGUGUCUAUUGGAUCUACUUCUCAUCUCUGAAGGUGUGAACACUUAUCAAAAGGAUUCACAAGUUCCUGACUGAGUUUCAGAGGGUGUGAAUUCGUUAAAGAACUCAUUCAGAACAUCUGAAGCCCUAACUAUUCCCUGUCCCAGACUUUUCCUAGUGAGCCAAAACUCCCAGACAAGCCUAAAGCCUGAACUUGAAGGAGGAUUUCAUCUAAUACAUCUAUACAAGGAACCUCAUAGCCAACUGGGAACGAUUUCACCAAGUCUAAAGAUUCC
This 505-nucleotide long non-coding RNA is filed under the name Monodelphis domestica (gray short-tailed opossum). Its description in RNAcentral is "lncRNA (ENSMODG00000045216.1)". Lineage: Eukaryota; Metazoa; Chordata; Mammalia; Didelphimorphia; Didelphidae. The record is from RNAcentral.